AAGGUCACGUAUCGGAUUUCUGGCCGUAAGCGCGCGUAGGUGGUUAAUUAGGUCAAUGUGAAAUCCCCGAGCUUAACUUGGGAAUUGCAUUCGAUACUGGUUAACUAGAGUAUGGGAGAGGAUGGGAGAAUUCCAGGUGUAGCGGUGAAAUGCGUAGAGAUCUGGAGGAAUACCGAUGGCGAAGGCAGCCAUCUGGCCUAAUACUGACACUGAGGUGCGAAAGCAUGGGGAGCAAACAGGAUUAGAUACCCUGGUAGUCCAUGCCGUAAACGAUGUCUACUAGCCGUUGGGGGAUUUGAUCCUUUAGUGGCGCAGCUAACGCGAUAAGUAGACCGCCUGGGGAGUACGGUCGCAAGACUAAAACUCAAAUGAAUUGACGGGGGCCCGCACAAGCGGUGGAGCAUGUGGUUUAAUUCGAUGCAACGCGAAGAACCUUACCUGGCCUUGACAUAGUAGAGACUUUCCAGAGAUGGAUUGGUGCCUUCGGGAAUCUACAUACAGGUGCUGCAUGGCUGUCGUCAGCUCGUGUCGUGAGAUGUUGGGUUAAGUCCCGCAACGAGCGCAACCCUUUUCCUUACUUGCCAGCAUUUCGGAUGGGAACUUUAAGGAUACUGCCAGUGACAAACUGGAGGAAGGCGGGGACGACGUCAAGUCAUCAUGGCCCUUACGGCCAGGGCUACACACGUGCUACAAUGGUCGGUACAAAGGGUUGCUACACAGCGAUGUGAUGCUAAUCUCAAAAGCCGAUCGUAGUCCGGAUCGCAGUCUGCAACUCGACUGCGUGAAGUCGGAUCGCUAGUAAUCGCGGAUCAGAAUGCCGCGGGUGAAUACGUUCCCGGGCCUUGUACACACCGCCCGUCACACCAUGGGAGUUUGUUGCACCAGAGUAGUAGUCUAACCGCAAGGAGGACGCUUACCACGGUGUGGCCGAUGACUGGGGUGAGUCUAGAGGGAACGACACAUUAUAUAA
RNAcentral lists this ribosomal RNA (970 nucleotides) under Acinetobacter sp. NF87. RNAcentral's name for it is "bacterial SSU rRNA". It matches the Rfam family "Bacterial small subunit ribosomal RNA", at positions 534 to 1533 of the family's 1533-position model. The record is from RNAcentral. Lineage: Bacteria; Pseudomonadati; Pseudomonadota; Gammaproteobacteria; Moraxellales; Moraxellaceae.